CGAGGGGCAGCGGGGUAGUGCUUGCACUACUGCCGGCGACCGGCGCACGGGUGAGUAACACGUAUGGAACCUGCCCGCAGCAGGGGGAUAAGCGGAAGAAAUUCCGUCUAAUACCGCGUAAGAACGUUGGGAGGCAUCUCCCGAUGUUUAAAGAUUUAUCGGCUGCGGAUGGCCAUGCGGCGCAUUAGCUAGUCGGCGGGGUAACGGCCCACCGAGGCGACGAUGCGUAGGGGUUCUGAGAGGAAGGUCCCCCACACUGGUACUGAGACACGGACCAGACUCCUACGGGAGGCAGCAGUGAGGAAUAUUGGUCAAUGGCCGAGAGGCUGAACCAGCCAAGUCGCGUGAGGGAAGACGGCCCUGCGGGUUGUAAACCUCUUUUGUCGGGGAGCAAAGCGAACCACGUGUGGUUCAUUGAGAGUACCCGAAGAAAAAGCAUCGGCUAACUCCGUGCCAGCAGCCGCGGUAAUACGGAGGAUGCGAGCGUUAUCCGGAUUUAUUGGGUUUAAAGGGUGCGCAGGCGGAGGUGCAAGUCAGCGGUCAAAUUGCGGGGCUCAACCCCGUACUGCCGUUGAAACUGCAUCCCUUGAGUGCGCGAGAAGUAUGCGGAAUGCGUGGUGUAGCGGUGAAAUGCAUAGAUAUCACGCAGAACUCCGAUUGCGAAGGCAGCAUACCGGCGCGCAACUGACGCUCAUGCACGAAAGCGUGGGUAUCGAACAAGGUUAGAUACCCUGGUAGUCCACGCAGUAAACGAGAAACACUAGCUGUUUCGGCCAGAAUGAUGGCUGAGUGGUACAGCGAAAGCGUUAAGUGUUCCACCUGGGGAGUACGCCGGCAACGGUGAAACUCAAAGGAAUUGACGGGGGCCCGCACAAGCGGAGGAACAUGUGGUUUAAUUCGAUGAUACGCGAGGAACCUUACCCGGGCUCAAACGACACAGGAAUACUUUUGAAAGGAGGUAGCCCUACGGGGUCUGUGUCGAGGUGCUGCAUGGUUGUCGUCAGCUCGUGCCGUGAGGUGUCGGCUUAAGUGCCAUAACGAGCGCAACCCCUAUCGCCAGUUACCAUCAAGUAAAGUUGGGGACUCUGGCGAGACUGCCGGCGCAAGCUGAGAGGAAGGCGGGGAUGACGUCAAAUCAGCACGGCCCUUACGUCCGGGGCGACACACGUGUUACAAUGGCAGGUACAGAGAGAAGCCAGGUGGUGACACCGAGCGGAACUCGAAAGCCUGUCUCAGUUCGGAUCGGAGUCUGCAACCCGACUCCGUGAAGCUGGAUUCGCUAGUAAUCG
This 1289-nucleotide ribosomal RNA is filed under the name uncultured bacterium. RNAcentral describes it as "bacterial SSU rRNA". It matches the Rfam family "Bacterial small subunit ribosomal RNA", at positions 63 to 1344 of the family's 1533-position model. The record is from RNAcentral.